UCCCGGUUAUCCCGGGCAGUCUGGCAUGAAAUAUACAACAUACCAUAAGGGUUGCGCUCGUUGCGGGACUUAACCCAACAUCUCACGACACGAGCUGACGACGGCCAUGCAGCACCUGUCACUAGGCUCCCGAAGGCACCCCCGGGUUUCCCCAGGGUUCCUAGGAUGUCAAGCCUUGGUAAGGUUCUUCGCGUAGCUUCGAAUUAAACCACAUCAUCCACCGCUUGUGCGGGUCCCCGUCAAUUCCUUUGAGUUUUAAGCUUGCGCUCGUACUCCCCAGGCGGCUUACUUAUCGCGUUAGCUUCGCAGCACAGGGGGUCGAUACCCCAUACUACUAGUAAGCAUCGUUUACGGCGUGGACUAC
RNAcentral lists this unclassified non-coding RNA (364 nucleotides) under uncultured bacterium. Its description in RNAcentral is "contains 16S-23S intergenic spacer region". The record is from RNAcentral.